CAUUGAUUGUUAAACCAAUCUUGUAUGCCUGGGAUAAUCCCCACCUGAUCAUUGUGCGUUAUAACUUUGACAUAUUGUUGGAUAUACCUUGUUAAGUUCUGUGAAGAUAUUUUCAUCUAUGUCACUGAGGGAUAUUCCUCUGCAGUUUUUCUUUUUUAAAAAUAUCUUUCUCGUUUUACUCUCAGUGUAAUACUAACAUCAAAAUUAUUUGCAAACACAGUGCUUCCUCUUCAAUUUUCUGAAAGACUAUACGUAUAACUAGUACGAUUUCUUCUUAGGUGUUUGGUAGAAUUGACAAAAGAAUACCUCCGGGCCUAAAGUUUCCUUCCUGUGGGAAAGUUUAACUAUGAAUCCAAUUAAUUUAAUAGAUAUAAGACUAUUCUACUCCCUUUUUUCCUCCAGUGUGAGUUGUUUCAAGUUAUGCAUUAAUUGUAUCCGUAUCAUCCAUUAACGACUAUAGGGUCCUUAAUUGUGUUUCCUUUUUCAUCUUGAUAUAGAUACUUUAUGUCUUCUCUCUUUUUUUUUUUUUACUUUUUUCAAACAACCAUGUUCUGACUUCAAUGAUUUUCCCAUCAUUUUGUUUUCUAUUUUACUGAUCUUUUAAUAUUUAUCAUUUUCUUUGCUCUUUCAAAAACUAUUUCUUUCUUAGAGUGAAAUCGUAGAACACCUGUCUGAGGUCUUUCUGGUUUUCUCUCAUAUAAACAUUUAAUGCUGUGAUAUUCCCUCUCCGCACUUGUGUUGAUCAGCUCAGGCUUCCAUAACAAAAUGUAAUAGACGGGUGGCCUGAACAACAGAAAUUUACUUUCUCACAAUACUGGCAGUUGGGACAUCCCAAGUUGAGGUCCAGUAGGGUUAAAUUCUGACACAACUUUUUUCCCUGGCUUGCAGAGAGCUAUCUUCUUGCUGUGCAGAGGAGACUAGCCAAAUGACCAAGAGACAUUCAAUGUGCACAGCCUGCUUAAUUAUCAGGAAAAGCCUAAACCUUAAUGAGACACCACUGUAUACCUACUGAAAGAGCAGAUGGGCUAUAUCCAGUGCUAUUGAGGACGGUAGCUUGGUAGUACAGAAGUUUGGCAUUUUCCACUAUGGCUGAAGAUACCUGUUUUUCCUACAAUUUAACUUUCCCUCUAGAAGGUAUUUACCCAACAGAAAUGCACACACCUGUGCACAAGGAGGCCCUGGAUGAGGCUGUUGUAACAUCAAACAUAAUCACUGCAAAUGGAAAACACAGAGACAUCUACCCCAGUGGAAGAGAUAAAUAAAUUAUGGAUCAUUGUCUGAUGGAAUACUACACAACAGUAAAAAAUGAACAAGCUAUGGAACAAUACAAAUGAAUCCCAUGAGUGUAGCACUGAGCAAAAUAAGCCAGACAGAACAUGUACUAGAGGAUCCUACUUAGACAACCUUGAAAAGAGCUGGAGAAACAACCAUGACACUCAGGGUGCAUGCUUGGCCGGGACAACUCCGAAGGAAGGUUAGACACGGUUACCUUCAGCAUCAGCACAGUGCCUACGUUACUGGGGCUCAUGGGGACUGGGAACUGCAUGGUACCUGGGCAGGGGUUGUGCUGAGAUCUCUGUUGGAGCGUCCAGCUCUAUUCCAGGUGCAUCUCUGUGUAUGCCAUAGCUGAGAGUGAUGUGCUGAGAUCUCUGCUGGAGCGUCCAGCUCUGUUCCAGGUGCAUCUCUGUGUAUGCCGUAGCUGAGAUCUCUGCUGGAGUGUCCAGCUCUGUUCCAGGUGCAUCUCUGUGUAUGCCGUAGCUGAGAGCGAGGGCUGGAGCACAUGGCCUUCACCCUUGGCAAUGGCUUCCUCCCCGUGAUGAGUUUGCUCUUGGUGUUGGUAGCCAUGGUCCUUCCUGGUCCCCGCCUGGGUCCUCUGACCACCUCUCUUACCUCCUUUGCAGGCUGACAGUCCCAGGCCACCCCUCAAAUGCCAGGGUCUCCUGAAGCUCCGUUUCUUAAUUGAGUGGUUGUCAAAUGUCAGCAUCUGGUGGAACUGGCUGGAGAGCUCCUUACUGUCCAUGUCACUGGACCCCACGCUCAGAGAUUUUAGAUCAGUAAGGCUGAGGCAGAGCCUGAGAAUCUGCAUUUGAACUCGUCUGUAGGCAAGGUUGAUGCUGCUGGUUUGGAGACCACACUUUAUCUCCAACUCACAUCCCUUUUCCUCUCAGAACCCACAUUUCCAAAUGGCCACUGGUAGUCCCACCAGAACCCCAAAGCUGUGGGUCCCUGCCCUCACGUCUGGGUUAGCGACCGCACUGCCCACCGCUGUCCCAAACCCGUCCUGUUUCUCGACUGCAACACCCAGUCUGCGCCGCAUCCUGCCAGCUCCCGUUCAACGUUCCUCUCUCCCAUCUCCCACCAAUGCUGGGCCCUUCACGCCUCCAAAUGGGUGCCAGGUCUGCUGGUGGCUCCAGCCUGUCCAGGCUCUCCUUUCCUUCCCAUGCAGACUCCCGUGAUGAGCCAUAAAGCUUUCCCACUCAGAUCCUAUUGCUCCUAAGGCAAACCAGGCAAUCCCUUUCCCAUCAUCCCCCCUAAACGCCCUGCUCCACCCCAAGCCUGCCUGCAACCUCAGCUCCAUCCAGAGAAUGUGCUGGGCCAUCUCCAUUGUCUCUUUCUGCCUGAAAUAUCUGUCCAGCCCAAUCCACCUGUGGGUGCGACCAGCUCUCCCGUCUCCCCAGGCCCCUCCAGGACCCACUCUGAUGUGACUGCUUCUUCCUCUGUGCCAUCAGCAAGCUGUGCCAUUAGUUGCCCCUCGCCACUCUGGUCCCAUCAAAGGGCAGGUGUUUGACCCCACGUCUGUGUCUCUGCAGAGCCGAGGGCUGGACUUUUUCUAGGUUGUUUCUGCACCCUGAGCCAGGGCCUGUCCCUUCGUACCCUGUGCUCGGGAUCUGGUGGUGAGGAUCUGACCCUGAGAAGGCCAUCUGAGGUGAUGAAGUAGACAGUGGUGCUCUCUGGGACCCUCCGUUUGCAAUGACAACCUGUCCCUCUGGUCUAAACGAGCCUGCAGCCCAAGGGCAGGGCUGGCUGGGCAGGAAUGUGUCCCCAUUUCCCCUGCUGAGAGCAAGCCAUGAGCGCCUACUGCAUACACAGCCCUGCCGCUCCCUCCCAGUCUCCUUUGACUCUGGUAGCCCUGACGGUAGCUGCUUGACCUCUUCCAGGCGAGGGUGAUGACUCACCCAAGACCUCUCGGCCAGGAUCUGCUUUCACAAGGUCUCUGGGCUCCUGACCAGAUCAGUGCAGAUACUAACCAGUGGGCACCAAGGACCACCCCGCAUUCAGCUCUGACCUCUGGUGCAGUCAAGCGACAGCAGGGAGGGGACAGGGGCGGGUGUAGGAGGUCCCAGUGAGCAUCGGGUCAGUGCUGCAAGUCUGGAGCUGGAUGCUUCUGGUUUUAGUGGAAGCAGGGAGGGGGUCAGCUUGCUCACCUGCCCCCCAGCCCAUGUCUGGCUGUAUCAGCCCCGCAGCGCAUCAAAGUACUUGCGCGUGGAGUCACCCUGCUGGGAGAACGCCCUCCUGGUGCGGUGGGACUCAGGGCCUUGAGUGGGCAGUGAGGCGAGGUCGUUUGUUUUCCAGGCUCCGCAGUGCACUGGGACUCCCUCUUCUCCCGAGUCGCCAGUUGCCACCCUUUGCCCAUCGUACCUCACUCUCAGGUCCAAGGAGCCAAGCCCAGAAGUCCCUCAGCUUCCCAGUGACAAGCACAGCAUCUAAGAACAGACCAUGUGGCCCUCAGUGGACAUGUCCCCCGGGGUGGCGGGGGGGGGGGGACUCCUGGGUCCAAAGCCCUUCCCUCAGCCCCUGCCCACCCCCACCUAGAGCCUAUCAUUCUCCUGAGCUGGAGUGAUUGACUAGGAACUAAAAGCCUCCUCUGGCCCCUCCCUCCUGUGGGUCCUGACCUGGCUCAGGUCACUCCCCAUGAGUUUGAGAAGGGCACCCUAAAUGUAUAUCUGUUCCUGGAGGAGAGGGGACAGGCAUGACAUUUGAAACUUCCUGAUUUUAAAAAUCCUAAACCCCAAUCAUGUUUGACCAGGCAAGCAAACAGAAGGGGUUUGGGGUCAACCGCGAGCAUGCCCCCUCUACCCAUCGCUGACCCAACCUCUGCUGGCGGUUUGGUGUCUUCACGUCCAACCCCGUUGGGGUGGGGGAGGUGGUGUGGGUUUGCGGGUGCAUUCUGUUUAAUUUGAUUUUUCCUUGCAAACAUAUGAUGACGCGCUACACCAGGUCUGCAAUUUUUUUUAAACAAAUCUGUGUGAUCAUUGUCUUUCUGGACCAGCCUUUCAAUGACUCCAGUGUAUGGGGAGACCACAAUUCAUUCGUUGAACUCUAUGGAAAUGGAUAUUCAGGAUAUCGCACCAAAAUGUUUCACUAUGAAAAGACCACUUCACAUGAGGUGGAGUGCACAAAUUUUAAAGUGUUAACUGUAGGUACAACAGUGUACAGCAAGUCUCUAGAGCUUACUUGUUUUGUUUGAAACUUUAUGCCUGUUAAUAGGUAACCCUGCCCAGCCCUGGCCACCACCGUUCCACUGUGUGAGUCUAAGAACUUGAGUAUUUUAGAGACCUCAAAUGCGUGGAAUCAUGUAAUUUUGUCUUCCUGUGAUUGGCUGGUUUCCCUGAGCAUUUGGACUCCAGGGUCACUCACGUUUUUGCAUAUUGCAGAAUUUCCUUCUUUUUGCAGACUGGGUGUCACUCCACCGUAGGCACAGACCACAGCUUCUCUGCUAAUCCAUCCAUGGACAUUUCAGCUGUUUCCACAUCUGGACUUUGCGAAGGAUGCUGCAGAGCACACAGGAGGCUAAAAUCUCUUCCAAAUCCUGACUUUGAUUCUUUUUGAGAAAUACCCAGAAAUGUGAUUGCUGCAUCUCACAGUAGUUCUAUUUUUAAUUUUUUUUUGAGAAAUUUCUGUAUUUUCCCCCAAAGAGCUGCAGCGCUUUGCAUUCCCACCAGGGUGUACAAUCGCUCCAAUCCCUCCACACACUCACCAACAUUUGCUGUCUUUUCUUUUUCUUUUUUUGGUUUUUUUCAGGGCCUCGCCUAUGGCGUACGGAGGUUGUCAGAGGUUCCCAGGCCAGGGGUUGAAUCAGAGCUACAGCUGCCUGCCUACACCACAGCCACGGCAAUGCUGGAUCCGAGCCACAUCUGCAACCUACACCACAGCUCAUGGCAAAGAUUAGUGAUACUGAAGAUUUUUUAAUAUACUUGUUGACUGUUUGUAUGUCUUCUUUGGAGAAUUGUCUCUUCAAGUCCUUAGCUCACUUGUAAAUUGUUCUUUUAAAUUUUUGAGUUGUAGGAAUUCCUUACAUAUUUGGAGAUUGAUGAUCAGAUAUACGGUCUGAAAUAUUUUCUCUUACCGCUUUUUCACUCUGUUGAGAGUUUCCUCGGCUGUGCAGAAGCUUUUUAGUUCGACAGAGUCCUGCUUCUUUACCUUUUGUUGUUGCUGUCUAUGCCAAGACCAAUGCCUUGAAGCUUUUCUCUUAUAUUUUUCCUAGGAUUUUUACCAUUUGGGGUUUUAUGUUUAAGUCUUUAAUCCAUUUUGAGUUGAUUUUUGUGUGUGGUGUAAUGUAAGGGUCCAAUUUCAUUCUUUUGCACAUGGAUACACAGUUUUCCCAUAGAUGGACGUUAUUCCAUGUCAUUCCAUGCAAAAACCAAAAGAAAGCAGUAGCUUUACUUAUUUCAGACUAAAUAGACUUUAGGCCAAAGAUUGUAACAGGAGGCAAAGAAGGCUGUUCUAUGAUGAUAAGGGGUCAACCCAACACAAGGAUACGGUGUUUAAAAAUAUGUGUGCACCUAACCUAGAAGCACCUAAAUAUAUUACGUAAAUCUUAACAGGCCUGAAGGGAAAAACAGUCAAUGAAUACUCCACUUUCAACAACAAGUAAAUUACCCAGACCAAAAAAAAAAAAAAAA
This 5903-nucleotide long non-coding RNA is filed under the name Sus scrofa (pig). Its description in RNAcentral is "lncRNA (ENSSSCG00025013662.1)". The record is from RNAcentral. Lineage: Eukaryota; Metazoa; Chordata; Mammalia; Artiodactyla; Suidae.